RNAcentral lists this transfer RNA (86 nucleotides) under Polaromonas sp. Its description in RNAcentral is "tRNA-Tyr". It matches the Rfam family "tRNA". From Rfam's summary of the family: Transfer RNA (tRNA) molecules are approximately 80 nucleotides in length. Their secondary structure includes four short double-helical elements and three loops (D, anti-codon, and T loops). Lineage: Bacteria; Pseudomonadati; Pseudomonadota; Betaproteobacteria; Burkholderiales; Comamonadaceae. The record is from RNAcentral.
GGAUGGGUGCCCGAGUGGUUAAUGGGGACAGACUGUAAAUCUGUUGGCUAACGCCUACGCUGGUUCGAAUCCAGCCCCAUCCACCA